Molecule: non-coding RNA, 345 nt
Organism: Cicer arietinum (chickpea)
Lineage: Eukaryota; Viridiplantae; Streptophyta; Magnoliopsida; Fabales; Fabaceae
Source: RefSeq, a predicted model, not a curated record
AGGCGAACGAACAGCACACAAGGGCACGAGAAGACCACCGAAAUGAACGGCGCCAGAUGAAGAUGAGACUCGGCCUCUGGUUGUGGUGGUGCGCAUCCUUUUUGUUUUGCCAGUUGCCACAUUCAACUGAGGAACUUGAUAUCGUUGACUACUUCUUAGACCUCCAACACACAAAGGAUUCAUCAAUGAAUAUGCAGAAAUGAGUUGUAGACUUUCUUGUUGAGGUGCCUUUCAAAUACUAGUGUAUGACGAAUGUCAUGUAAAUGAGACUGUACUUGGUUGAGCCAUGUAUUGACUGAGUUUAUUUACUGCAAAUGAUAUGAUUGGCCUGCAAAUGAUUAGAUA